AGCUGGUCUGAGAGGAUGACCAGCCACACUGGAACUGAGACACGGUCCAGACUCCUACGGGAGGCAGCAGUGGGGAAUAUUGCACAAUGGGCGCAAGCCUGAUGCAGCCAUGCCGCGUGUAUGAAGAAGGCCUUCGGGUUGUAAAGUACUUUCAGCGGGGAGGAAGGGAGUAAAGUUAAUACCUUUGCUCAUUGACGUUACCCGCAGAAGAAGCACCGGCUAACUCCGUGCCAGCAGCCGCGGUAAUACGGAGGGUGCAAGCGUUAAUCGGAAUUACUGGGCGUAAAGCGCACGCAGGCGGUUUGUUAAGUCAGAUGUGAAAUCCCCGGGCUCAACCUGGGAACUGCAUCUGAUACUGGCAAGCUUGAGUCUCGUAGAGGGGGGUAGAAUUCCAGGUGUAGCGGUGAAAUGCGUAGAGAUCUGGAGGAAUACCGGUGGCGAAGGCGGCCCCCUGGACGAAGACUGACGCUCAGGUGCGAAAGCGUGGGGAGCAAACA
Molecule: ribosomal RNA, 497 nt
Filed under: Escherichia coli
Lineage: Bacteria; Pseudomonadati; Pseudomonadota; Gammaproteobacteria; Enterobacterales; Enterobacteriaceae
Description: bacterial SSU rRNA
Rfam family: Bacterial small subunit ribosomal RNA
Source: RNAcentral